This 711-nucleotide ribosomal RNA is filed under the name uncultured bacterium. RNAcentral describes it as "bacterial SSU rRNA". It matches the Rfam family "Bacterial small subunit ribosomal RNA", at positions 57 to 770 of the family's 1533-position model. The record is from RNAcentral.
GCAGUCGACGGUGAAGAGGAGCUUGCUCCUUGGAUCAGUGGCGAACGGGUGAGUAACACGUGAGCAAUCUGCCCUUGACUCUGGGAUAACUGCGGGAAACUGUAGCUAAUACCGGAUAUUACCUUGGAAGGCAUCUUCUGGGGUGGAAAGAAUUUUGGUCAAGGAUGAGCUCGCGGCCUAUCAGCUAGUUGGUGAGGUAAUGGCUCACCAAGGCGACGACGGGUAGCCGGCCUGAGAGGGUGACCGGCCACACUGGGACUGAGACACGGCCCAGACUCCUACGGGAGGCAGCAGUGGGGAAUAUUGCACAAUGGGCGCAAGCCUGAUGCAGCAACGCCGCGUGAGGGACGAAGGCCUUCGGGUUGUAAACCUCUUUUAGUAGGGAAGAAGCGACUGGGUUUUCCUGGAAGUGACGGUACCUGCAGAAAAAGCACCGGCUAACUACGUGCCAGCAGCCGCGGUAAUACGUAGGGUGCAAGCGUUGUCCGGAAUUAUUGGGCGUAAAGAGCUCGUAGGCGGUUUGUCGCGUCUGCUGUGAAAACCCGAGGCUCAACCUCGGGCCUGCAGUGGGUACGGGCAGACUAGAGUGCGGUAGGGGAGAUUGGAAUUCCUGGUGUAGCGGUGGAAUGCGCAGAUAUCAGGAGGAACACCAAUGGCGAAGGCAGAUCUCUGGGCCGUAACUGACGCUGAGGAGCGAAAGCAUGGGGAGCG